GACUACGGCCAUACCACCCUGGACAUGCUUGAUCUCAAUCUCAUCUCAUCUCGGAAGCUAAGCAGGGUCGGGCCUGGUUAGUACUUGGAUGGGGAGGAAAAAGACUCUGGUUUUAGCAGUGA
Erinaceus europaeus (western European hedgehog) is the source of this 122-nucleotide ribosomal RNA. The record is from Ensembl. NCBI's taxonomy places the organism in Eukaryota, Metazoa, Chordata, Mammalia, Eulipotyphla, Erinaceidae.